AACGAACGCUGGCGGCAUGCCUAACACAUGCAAGUCGAACGAGACCUUCGGGUCUAGUGGCGCACGGGUGCGUAACGCGUGGGAACCUGCCCUUAGGUUCGGAAUAACUCCCCGAAAGGGGUGCUAAUACCGGAUAAUGUCUUCGGACCAAAGAUUUAUCGCCUUUGGAUGGGCCCGCGUUGGAUUAGCUAGUUGGUAGGGUAAAAGCCUACCAAGGCGACGAUCCAUAGCUGGUCUGAGAGGAUGAUCAGCCACACUGGGACUGAGACACGGCCCAGACUCCUACGGGGGGCGGGAGGGGGGAAUAUUGGACAUGGGGGGAAAGCCUGACCCGGCAAGGCCGGGUGAGUGAUGAAGGCCUUGGGGUUGAAAAGCUCUUUUCCCCGGGAUGAUAAUGAAAGUACCGGGAGAAAAAGCCCCGGCUAACUCCGU
RNAcentral lists this ribosomal RNA (432 nucleotides) under uncultured bacterium. Its description in RNAcentral is "partial 16S ribosomal RNA". It matches the Rfam family "Bacterial small subunit ribosomal RNA", at positions 29 to 506 of the family's 1533-position model. The record is from RNAcentral.